CAGCCCAGGCAAGGCAGACUCCUGUCUCCGAGCAGUCGCCCUAACCAGUGACUACACCCAGGAAGCUCAGUAAUGGCCAGAUCCUGGCUGCUCUCCCAGGACGGACCCUAUCCUAUCCUCGGGGACACAGCAUGUUAAUUCCUUUAGAAAUUUGCAUCUGGGCCUGGGAACUGGAGUCUGGACCUAGCCAGAGAGGUGAGUUCAACCUUGAAGUCUCACUUCCAAAACAUUCUUGGAAACUGUAGGAUUUUCCAUGGAUGUCCUCAUCUACAGGACUCUAGGGCAUCAGAGCUGGGCAAGCCCUCACAGGAGCUGAUCUAAUUCCUGGGAAAAUGCCCUGACCUUGAUAACUCCCAUUCCAGGGAGGAAAGGCAGUCAACAGCAAAAUCGGUCAAGUUGUCACACUAGGAUCACUUCUGACCCUGACUACAGAGCAGGCUCGGAGAUCUGGGGGCAUUGCCUCAUCCAAGUCCCUGGUAAUCACAGCGGCUGCCCCCGUCACCGGGCUCCACGUCGAACUCUCCUCUCAGGCAGUCCAGGGUGCUCUGGGAGAUGUGCACGCGCCUGCGGUGCAGCAGAGAGGCCUGAGCACGGGCCGGGGCGCCCUCCCUGCCCCCGACAGCCACGGCCCAGGCUGCAUCUCAGGGCCCAGGACAGAGGGCCACCCGGAGCAGAGACGAAGUCCCGUGUGGGCAGUGUGGCACCUGCCCCCGUCUCAGCCUCAGUGUUAAACCCCAAGACAGGAGUAAAUUUGUCCUCACAGGCUGCCGAGAGUAUCAGAUGAGAAAAGGAAAUUCAGAAGUCUGCUCUGACCUUAAAGUCAUAAGGUCCGAUUAUUACCCGCCUUGCAGGAUCCUUAGUUGCAGCACCUGCUUUCAGGGGACAAUGGACCCAUUUCUGGGGAGUCACCACUAAGGGAGAGGCUUGUGGCUGCCUUUAAGGUAGCCCCCUGACCCAGGGGGGCAGGUUUCACCACGUCCUUCGCUGCCCACCCUGAGGCAGGCCCUGGCCUGGCCAAUUCUGCAGCAGCUCCGGUGAGAUGAGCAGGCGCACUAGCUGCAAUCGCUGCUACCGAGCCGGCUGCUGAUCAUCACUAGAAUAAUACUGACGCAGCUACAGCUGUGAGCACGUCGGGGCCCAGGCAGCCCCCCACGUGGGCAAAGGGAGCGAGGAGACAGCUGGAGAGGUCCAGGCACGAGAGGCCACAGCCAACCUCAGCCCAAGGAGGCGGGCGCCCCGAGGAGGAACGCUGCUGCUGGUGGUCCCCCGUCCAGGCCGCAGACCUGAGGGAUGGAUGUCCCCUCCCGGACCCUCGUGCCUGC
Molecule: non-coding RNA, 1322 nt
Organism: Miniopterus natalensis
Lineage: Eukaryota; Metazoa; Chordata; Mammalia; Chiroptera; Miniopteridae
Source: RefSeq, a predicted model, not a curated record